RNAcentral lists this ribosomal RNA (253 nucleotides) under uncultured bacterium. RNAcentral's name for it is "partial 16S ribosomal RNA". It matches the Rfam family "Bacterial small subunit ribosomal RNA", at positions 524 to 776 of the family's 1533-position model. The record is from RNAcentral.
UACGGGGGGGGUAAGCGUUGUUCGGAAUUACUGGGCGUAAAGGGCUCGUAGGCGGCCAACUAAGUCAGACGUGAAAUCCCUCGGCUUAACCGGGGAACUGCGUCUGAUACUGGAUGGCUUGAGUUUGGGAGAGGGAUGCGGAAUUCCAGGUGUAGCGGUGAAAUGCGUAGAUAUCUGGAGGAACACCGGUGGCGAAGGCGGCAUCCUGGACCAACACUGACGCUGAUGAGCGAAAGCCAGGGGAGCAAAUGGG